RNAcentral lists this ribosomal RNA (1057 nucleotides) under Staphylococcus sp. RNAcentral's name for it is "bacterial SSU rRNA". It matches the Rfam family "Bacterial small subunit ribosomal RNA", at positions 62 to 1097 of the family's 1533-position model. The record is from RNAcentral. Lineage: Bacteria; Bacillati; Bacillota; Bacilli; Caryophanales; Staphylococcaceae.
UCGAGCGAACAGACGAGGAGCUUGCUCCUCUGACGUUAGCGGCGGACGGGUGAGUAACACGUGGAUAACCUACCUAUAAGACUGGGAUAACUUCGGGAAACCGGAGCUAAUACCGGAUAAUAUAUUGAACCGCAUGGUUCAAUAGUGAAAGACGGUUUUGCUGUCACUUAUAGAUGGAUCCGCGCCGCAUUAGCUAGUUGGUAAGGUAACGGCUUACCAAGGCAACGAUGCGUAGCCGACCUGAGAGGGUGAUCGGCCACACUGGAACUGAGACACGGUCCAGACUCCUACGGGAGGCAGCAGUAGGGAAUCUUCCGCAAUGGGCGAAAGCCUGACGGAGCAACGCCGCGUGAGUGAUGAAGGUCUUCGGAUCGUAAAACUCUGUUAUUAGGGAAGAACAAAUGUGUAAGUAACUAUGCACGUCUUGACGGUACCUAAUCAGAAAGCCACGGCUAACUACGUGCCAGCAGCCGCGGUAAUACGUAGGUGGCAAGCGUUAUCCGGAAUUAUUGGGCGUAAAGCGCGCGUAGGCGGUUUUUUAAGUCUGAUGUGAAAGCCCACGGCUCAACCGUGGAGGGUCAUUGGAAACUGGAAAACUUGAGUGCAGAAGAGGAAAGUGGAAUUCCAUGUGUAGCGGUGAAAUGCGCAGAGAUAUGGAGGAACACCAGUGGCGAAGGCGACUUUCUGGUCUGUAACUGACGCUGAUGUGCGAAAGCGUGGGGAUCAAACAGGAUUAGAUACCCUGGUAGUCCACGCCGUAAACGAUGAGUGCUAAGUGUUAGGGGGUUUCCGCCCCUUAGUGCUGCAGCUAACGCAUUAAGCACUCCGCCUGGGGAGUACGACCGCAAGGUUGAAACUCAAAGGAAUUGACGGGGACCCGCACAAGCGGUGGAGCAUGUGGGUUUAAUUCGAAGCAACGCGAAGAACCUUACCAAAUCUUGACAUCCUCUGACCCCUCUAGAGAUAGAGUUUUCCCCUUCGGGGGACAGAGUGACAGGUGGUGCAUGGUGUCGUCAGCUCGUGUCGUGAGAUGAUGGGCUAAGUACCCGCAACGAGC